RNAcentral lists this small RNA (55 nucleotides) under bovine gut metagenome. RNAcentral describes it as "Streptococcus sRNA SpF59 (ldcC RNA)". It matches the Rfam family "Streptococcus sRNA SpF59 (ldcC RNA)". The record is from RNAcentral.
GACCACUCCGCCGACGCGGGGUCAAGGCCAUACGGACAGCCGGGUCCACUGCCGA